Molecule: transfer RNA, 72 nt
Filed under: Candidatus Gottesmanbacteria bacterium
Lineage: Bacteria; Candidatus Gottesmaniibacteriota
Description: tRNA-Val
Rfam family: tRNA
About the family: Transfer RNA (tRNA) molecules are approximately 80 nucleotides in length. Their secondary structure includes four short double-helical elements and three loops (D, anti-codon, and T loops). Further hydrogen bonds mediate the characteristic L-shaped molecular structure. tRNAs have two regions of fundamental functional importance: the anti-codon, which is responsible for specific mRNA codon recognition, and the 3' end, to which the tRNAs corresponding amino acid is attached (by aminoacyl-tRNA synthetases). tRNAs cope with the degeneracy of the genetic code in two manners: having more than one tRNA (with a specific anti-codon) for a particular amino acid; and 'wobble' base-pairing, i.e. permitting non-standard base-pairing at the 3rd anti-codon position.
Source: RNAcentral
GGACCUGUAGCUCAGUGGUAGAGCGUUCGACUCACAUUCGAAAGGUCAGAGGUUCGAUACCUCUCAGGUCCA